AAAGUAGGCCUACGUGGAGCCGACCUGCCAUUGGAUACUUCUCCCCUGGACCUUGUUCCCAGGCUCCGUGUGAAGCUGAACACUCCGCAUGAUCUCCCUGCCACCAUAGCAAGCUAUGAAGUUCAUUACACAUGCAGGUAGCAGACAAUACAGCUCUGCUUCCAUUUCUGAGCACCUACGGUAGACUGCCAUUAUUCAGUGUGCCAGCCUGUUUCCAAGCCUACAAUGUAUAGUUCCUCUAGUACGUAAACUCAUUUUUUUUCUCAGAGAGCCAAGUAGAGACACAGGCAGUUUUCUUCUCAAAAUGUGCCAGAAAUUCCAAAACAAUCUCAAAGCAUUAAAGGCUAUGUGCACAAAGU
RNAcentral lists this long non-coding RNA (359 nucleotides) under Homo sapiens (human). RNAcentral describes it as "HSALNT0306497". Lineage: Eukaryota; Metazoa; Chordata; Mammalia; Primates; Hominidae. The record is from RNAcentral.